GAUGAACGCUGGCGGCGUGCCUAAUACAUGCAAGUCGAGCGAACAGACGAGGAGCUUGCUCCUCUGACGUUAGCGGCGGACGGGUGAGUAACACGUGGAUAACCUACCUAUAAGACUGGGAUAACUUCGGGAAACCGGAGCUAAUACCGGAUAAUAUAUUGAACCGCAUGGUUCAAUAGUGAAAGACGGUUUUGCUGUCACUUAUAGAUGGAUCCGCGCCGCAUUAGCUAGUUGGUAAGGUAACGGCUUACCAAGGCAACGAUGUGUAGCCGACCUGAGAGGGUGAUCGGCCACACUGGAACUGAGACACGGUCCAGACUCCUACGGGAGGCAGCAGUAGGGAAUCUUCCGCAAUGGGCGAAAGCCUGACGGAGCAACGCCGCGGGAGUGAUGAAGGUCGUCGGAUCGUAAAACUCUGUUAUUAGGGAAGAACAAAUGUGUAAGUAACUAUGCACGUCUUGACGGUACCUAAUCAGAAAGCCACGGCUAACUACGUGC
This 498-nucleotide ribosomal RNA is filed under the name uncultured bacterium. RNAcentral describes it as "partial 16S ribosomal RNA". It matches the Rfam family "Bacterial small subunit ribosomal RNA", at positions 28 to 508 of the family's 1533-position model. The record is from RNAcentral.